AACUAGAGAGCUUGUAACAGCACUUGACUUUUAAUCAAGAGAUAAUAUUUAUAUUUCUAGUUA
Molecule: transfer RNA, 63 nt
Filed under: Amynthas longisiphonus
Lineage: Eukaryota; Metazoa; Annelida; Clitellata; Crassiclitellata; Megascolecidae
Description: tRNA-Lys
Source: RNAcentral